This 374-nucleotide ribosomal RNA is filed under the name uncultured bacterium. Its description in RNAcentral is "bacterial SSU rRNA". It matches the Rfam family "Bacterial small subunit ribosomal RNA", at positions 524 to 898 of the family's 1533-position model. The record is from RNAcentral.
UACGGAGGGGGCUAGCGUUGUUCGGAAUUACUGGGCGUAAAGCGCACGUAGGCGGACUGGAAAGUUGGAGGUGAAAUCCCAGGGCUCAACCUUGGAACUGCCUUCAAAACUAUCAGUCUGGAGUUCGAGAGAGGUGAGUGGAAUUGCGAGUGUAGAGGUGAAAUUCGUAGAUAUUCGCAGGAACACCAGUGGCGAAGGCGGCUCACUGGCUCGAUACUGACGCUGAGGUGCGAAAGUGUGGGGAGCAAACAGGAUUAGAUACCCUGGUAGUCCACACCGUAAACGAUGAAUGCCAGUCGUCGGGUUGCAUGCAAUUCGGUGACACACCUAACGGAUUAAGCAUUCCGCCUGGGGAGUACGGUCGCAAGAUUAAA